This 2114-nucleotide long non-coding RNA is filed under the name Mytilus galloprovincialis (Mediterranean mussel). The record is from RNAcentral. Lineage: Eukaryota; Metazoa; Mollusca; Bivalvia; Mytilida; Mytilidae.
GGGGAAAUAACUCUCAUAUGGAGCGGUCAUAUCGCUUCGGUCAAAAUAGGACAAAUCAUGCGAAGGAUAUAACGAGCAAUUUUGUAAAAUAAAUUUGUCAUAAUCUUUUACGGUUGCGAAGGAGAUGCGCUAACAAGGAAAACAGUGUUUGGGGAGAUAACUCCUACAAAGAAAAGUAUUCGUUUACGCAGGGUAAAUUUCAAAAGCGCAUAAACUGUUCGAUAUCAUAUACCAAAUAUCUAAGCGACAUAUUGCGAAACAAAUGUUUAUCGCAAGAACAAAAUUAGGCGGAAGAAAAAAAAAAAUAAUAAUUAAAAACCAAUUGUUCAGAGAACAAUUGAAGGUCUUUCCACUGAAAACAAUGUAUUUUAAUAUGAAAAGUUGUAAAAUUAAGUUUAAAAUGUCAUUUCAAUCGUCAACUGAUAGGUUAUUGUACGCUGAUUCCAGAAAUAUAUGGUUUCUAUACAAUAUUUUUUAAAUAAGGGAGAUAAUUUGUUACUUUCGGUUUGAAAAAUGUUACUUCCGAUAAUAUUUGAAUAUUUAAUUGACACUGAUUCCAAAAAGAUCUGGUUCUAUAUACUUUUUUAUUAAUAAAGUUCAAAAAUUAGCUACUUCCGGUUUAACACAAAGGUCAAUUCCGUUGUUUUUUCAAGGUUAAAUGGUUUGAUACCUUUCGCCAAAAGUUCAUGGAUAUAUAUGUAUAAAUUUGAGCUAAAGCAAAGGUCAAAAACUAGAACGUCAAAUUAAUCUAUGACCUUGAGAUCAAUUUCAAGGUCAUAAACAAGGACCUCAAAUCAAAAGACACUAUAGGACUUAAUUAUAUUGGUUAAUCAGUUUAUAUCACCAUUUAGACGUAUUUUUAGAUACAAGAGGGGAGAAAACUCCUUUUACGUUCAACGUACCCUUGCAAUCAAAAUUUAUGUGUUACGACAUGUCGCAACUAACAAUUUAGUAAAAAUAAUUUGUCGAUAUCUUAUACAGUUUCUGGAAAUUAAGUGAAAUAAGCCAAAUUCAAAUUUAGAAUUGACCUUUGACCUUUGACCUUGACCUUAAUUUAUUAUUUUUUUGGACCAAGGACCUCAAAUCAAAAGAUCCUUGGUCUCUAUCACUUAUGGUUUACAAGAUUAGAAAUGCAUAUCACUUAUAUAUCAAAUGCAAAGGGGAAUAACUCUCAUAUGGAGCGUUCCGGAUAUCACUUCGGUCAAAAUAGGACAAAUCAUCGAAGGAUAUAAACGAGCAAUUUGGAAAAUAAAUUUGUCAUUUCUUUUACGGUUGCGAAGAGAUGCGCUAACAAGGAAAAACAGUGUUUGGGGAGAUAACUCUUACAAAGAAAAGUAUUUUGUUUACGCGGUGUCAGUUUCAGAAGCGCAAUUAACUGUUCGAUAUCAUAUACCAAAUAUCUAAGCGACAUCUUGCGAAACAAAUGUUUUCAGCGAAGGUAAAAAAAGUUGGCGGAAGAAAAAAAAACAAUAAUUAAAAACCAAUUUGUUCAGAGAACAAUUGAAGGUCUUUCAACCAAAAAGGAUCUAUUUUGAUAUGAAAAUAUUAAAAUUCAGUUGAAAAUGUCAGUUCCUAUGGCUUUAUGAUGUAUAAAUAUGAAUUUCGAGCAAAGGUCAAAAUCUAGAACGUCCAAUUAACCUAUGACCUUGACCUCAAUUUCAAGGUCAUAAAAAGGAUCUCAAAUCAAAAGACACUAGUUCCUUAAUAUGUAUGGUUCAUGAGUAAUAUCACUUUACGCAUAAUUCUAAAUAUAAGAGGGGCGAAAACUCCCGUUUAUUGUCUACGCACCCUUGCAACAAAAUUUAUAAGUUACGACAUGUCGCAACUAACAAUUUAGUAAAAAUAAUUUGUCGAUAUCUUAUAAGGUUAAUGAAAAUAAGUGAAAAUAAGCCAAAAUCAAAAUUUAGAAUUUGACCUUGACCUUUGACCUUGACCUAAUUUUCAUUUUUUUGGACCAAGGAUCUUAAAUCAAAAGACCCUAGGUCUCUAUCACUUAUGGUUUACCAGUUAGAAAUGCAUAUCACUUAUAUCAUAUACAAAAGGGGGGGUAACUCUCAUAUGGAGUCUCCGGAUAGCUUCGGUCAAAAUAAAACAGAACAUCCUGAGGAUAUAAA